RNAcentral lists this ribosomal RNA (1106 nucleotides) under human gut metagenome. RNAcentral's name for it is "bacterial LSU rRNA". It matches the Rfam family "Bacterial large subunit ribosomal RNA", at positions 1422 to 2518 of the family's 2925-position model. The record is from RNAcentral.
GCCGCGUGGUGUUGGGACCGUAGCCGUAGUAGGUCAGCGCAGGGGUGACACGGAAUGGGAGCCGGCCGCGGAGGUGGUUUUCCGUGGUCAAGCACGCAGCCAGUCAUGUAGGCAAAUCCGCAUGGCGCGCAUGGCGAGGUGUGAUGAUGGGAGCCGUUAUGGCUCGAUAUCCGGUUGUCCAGGCCGUCGAGAAAAGCCUCGGCGUGAGGGCCAUGGCCGCCCGUACCCCAAACCGACACUGGUGGUCAGGUAGAGAAUACCAAGGCGAUCGAGCGAAUCCUGGUCAAGGAACUCGGCAAAUCACUCCCGUGCCUUCGGUAUAAGGGAGACCCGCUGGGGUGAACCGGCUAGCCCGGGGAGCUUUGGUGGGUGGCACAGACCAGGGGGUAGCGACUGUUUACCAAAAACACAGGUUUGUGCUAAAUCGAAAGAUGACGUAUACGAGCUGACGCCUGCCCGGUGCUGGAAGGUUAAGAGGAGAUGUGCAAGCAUUGAAUCGAAGCCCCAGUGAACGGCGGCCGUAACUAUAACGGUCCUAAGGUAGCGAAAUUCCUUGUCAGGUAAGUUCUGACCCGCAUGAAAGGCGUAAUGAUUUGGGCACUGUCUCAACAGCCCGCCCGGCGAAAUUGUAGUACCGGUGAAGAUGCCGGUUACCCGCGACAAGACGGAAAGACCCCAUGGAGCUUUACUGUAGCCUAAUAUUGGGUUUCGAUGUUGCAUGCACAGGAUAGAUGGGACUCUUGGAAACCAAGGCUUUGGCUUUGGCGGAGAGGCCGUUGGGAUACCAUCCUUGCGAUAUUGGAAUUCUAACCUGCGGCUCUGAAUCGAGUCGGGGGACAUUGUUAGGUGGGCAGUUUGACUGGGGCGGUCGCCUCCUAAAGAGUAACGGAGGCGUUCAAAGGUUCGCUCAGCUUGAACGGAAAUCAAGCAAAAGAGUGCAAACGCAGAAGCGAGCCUAACUGCGAGACUGACGGGUCGAGCAGUAACGAAAGUUGGAGUUAGUGAUCCGGUGGUAUGUGAGUGGAAAUGCCAUCGCUCAACGGAUAAAAGUUACCCUGGGGAUAACAGGCUGAUCUCCCCCAAGAGUCCACAUCGACGGGGAGGUU